RNAcentral lists this ribosomal RNA (367 nucleotides) under uncultured bacterium. RNAcentral's name for it is "bacterial SSU rRNA". It matches the Rfam family "Bacterial small subunit ribosomal RNA", at positions 150 to 502 of the family's 1533-position model. The record is from RNAcentral.
GUGGAAACGAGGUGCUAAUACCGCAUAACAAUGUCGUUCGCAGGAACAACGCUUAAAAGAUGGCUUCUCGCUAUCACUUCAGGAUGGACCUGCGGUGCAUUAGCUUGUUGGUGGGGUAAUGGCCUACCAAGGCGAUGAUGCAUAGCCGAGUUGAGAGACUGAUCGGCCACAAUGGGAGUGAGACACGGCCCAUACUCCUACGGGAGGCAGCAGUAGGGAAUCUUCCACAAUGGGCGCAAGCCUGAUGGAGCAACACCGCGUGAGAGAAGAAGGGUUUCGGCUCGUAAAGCUCUGUUGUAAAGAAGAACACGUAUGGGAGUAACUGUUCAUACGUUGACAGUAUUUAACCAGAAAGUCACGGCUAACU